RNAcentral lists this ribosomal RNA (462 nucleotides) under uncultured soil bacterium. Its description in RNAcentral is "bacterial SSU rRNA". It matches the Rfam family "Bacterial small subunit ribosomal RNA", at positions 26 to 518 of the family's 1533-position model. The record is from RNAcentral.
AGCCUGAACGCUGGCGGCGUGGCUAAGACAUGCAAGUCGCACGGGGUAGCAAUACCCAGUGGCGAACGGGAGAGUAAUGAAUCGCUAAUGUACCCCGGACUCUGGGAUAGCUACCCGAAAGGGUAGGUAAUACCAGAUGAUAUAACCGCACGGCAUCGUGUGGUUCUCAAAGGUCCGCCGGUCUGGGAGCAGGCGAUUUCGUAUCAGCUAGUUGGUGGGGUAACGGCUCACCAAGGCGACGACGCGUAGCCGGACUGAGAGGUUGGCCGGCCUCAUUGGGACUGAGACACUGCCCAGACUCCUACGGGGGGCUGCAGUAACGAAUCUUCCGCAAUGCACGAAAGUGUGACGGAGCGACGCCGCGUGUGGGACGAAGCCCUUCGGGUGUAAACCACUGUCAGGGGUUACCAAGUUCUGAGAGCCCCAGAGGAAGGCACGGCUAACUCUGUGCCAGCCAGCCGC